This is a non-coding RNA of Podarcis lilfordi (Lilford's wall lizard), 75 nucleotides long. The record is from the annotation of a GenBank genome assembly. Lineage: Eukaryota; Metazoa; Chordata; Lepidosauria; Squamata; Lacertidae.
GGAAGGGCCGUAGCUCAGUGGUAGAGCAUCUGACUUACAAGCAGGAGGUCCCAGGUUCAAUCCCUGGCCUGUCUA